CGGGGUGAGUAACACGUAGGUAAUCUGCCUCUAUCUCAGCGAUAACCCUCGGAAACGGGGGCUAAACGCUGGCACGGAACUUCGGUUUCAAAGGCGCAAGCCGGAUAGAGAUGAGCCUGCGGCUGAUUAGCUAGUUGGAGAGGUAAUGGCUCCCCAAGGCAACGAUCAGUAGCUGGUCUGAGAGGACGAACAGCCACACUGGAACUGAGACACGGUCCAG
Molecule: ribosomal RNA, 220 nt
Filed under: uncultured bacterium
Lineage: Bacteria
Description: partial 16S ribosomal RNA
Rfam family: Bacterial small subunit ribosomal RNA
Source: RNAcentral